UACGUAGGGGGCAAGCGUUGUCCGGAUUUAUUGGGCGUAAAGAGCGUGUAGGCGGUUUGGUAGGUCCGUUGUGAAAACUCGAGGCUCAACCUCGAGACGCCGAUGGAAACCAUCAGACUAGAGUCCGGAAGAGGAGAGUGGAAUUCCUGGUGUAGCGGUGAAAUGCGCAGAUAUCAGGAAGAACACCCGUGGCUAAGGCGGCUCUCUGGGCAUUACCUGACGCUGAGGAGCGAAAGUGUGGGGAGCGAACAGG
Molecule: ribosomal RNA, 253 nt
Filed under: uncultured bacterium
Lineage: Bacteria
Description: partial 16S ribosomal RNA
Rfam family: Bacterial small subunit ribosomal RNA
Source: RNAcentral